UACAGAGGUCCCAAGCGUUGUUCGGAUUCACUGGGCGUAAAGGGUGCGUAGGCGGUCGGGUAAGUCUGAUGUGAAAUCUCACAGCUUAACUGUGAAACUGCAUUGGAUACUAUCCGGCUCGAGGAAUGGAGGGGAGACUGGAAUACUUGGUGUAGCAGUGAAAUGCGCAGAUAUCGGGAGGAACACCGGUGGCGAAGGCGGUUCUCUGGGCCUGUACUGACGCUGAGGAGCGAAAGUGUGGGGAGCGAACAGG
This 253-nucleotide ribosomal RNA is filed under the name uncultured bacterium. Its description in RNAcentral is "partial 16S ribosomal RNA". It matches the Rfam family "Bacterial small subunit ribosomal RNA", at positions 524 to 776 of the family's 1533-position model. The record is from RNAcentral.